CUACGGGCGGCAGCAGUGGGGAAUCUUGGACAAUGGGGGCAACCCUGAUCCAGCCAUGCCGCGUGAGCGAUGAAGGCCUUAGGGUUGUAAAGCUCUUUCACCGGUGAAGAUAAUGACGGUAGCCGGAGAAGAAGCCCCGGCUAACUCCGUGCCAGCAGCCGCGGUAAUACGGAGGGGGCUAGCGUUGUUCGGAAUUACUGGGCGUAAAGCGCGCGUAGGCGGGCUGUUAAGUCGGGGGUGAAAUCCCGGGGCUCAGCCCCGGAACUGCCUUCGAUACUGGCAGCCUAGAGAUCUGGAGAGGCGAGUGGAAUUCCGAGUGUAGAGGUGAAAUUCGUAGAUAUUCGGAGGAACACCAGUGGCGAAGGCGGCUCGCUGGCCAGAUACUGACGCUGAGGUGCGAAAGCGUGGGGAGCAAACAGGAUUAGAUACCCUAGUAGUC
RNAcentral lists this ribosomal RNA (439 nucleotides) under uncultured bacterium. RNAcentral describes it as "partial 16S ribosomal RNA". It matches the Rfam family "Bacterial small subunit ribosomal RNA", at positions 339 to 795 of the family's 1533-position model. The record is from RNAcentral.